GAAAAAGAUUUUCUAAAAUGGAAUGGAUAUGACCUUGAAUAUUUAGUCUUUGGACAAUUAUAGUCUGCACAUUUUUAUUUCAUGGGGAAAUAGAAAAAGAUUUCAUCAUCUUUCCACUGCCCUCAGCCCAUAUUCUCACAUUUACACAUAACUGCCCCUAAUUUUAUUUUCAGUUGUUGGCCCUUAAAUGUGCCUUGUCUUUUCAGUGUGUCCCUAAACCUAAAAAUUGCCAUCCCCUUCAACCUUUUCUUUUAUUCAGUUUUCAUAUUAGUCCAACUCCUGUUGACAUUAUGUCCUAAAUCUAGAAGCCAUCUCCCUUUAGUCUAGUUCUCCAGGUUAUUUUUGAGACUAUUUUCAGUUUUUCUAAAUAGUCUUUCAAUUUCUACCACCACAAAGCCAUCUUUCAUUUUUCUUCUAGAUGAUUUUUCUAAUCCUAAUUGUAUGCCUUAUUAAUUUCUCUUAGAAUAAAGUCCUAGCCCUCUAAAGAAACAUCUGAGGCUGCUCAUUCAUCUCAUGACUACGUCUCCAUCCUCAGCUGCCAUUUGUUGUCCAGUACAUUCUGCUUGAUGGUGCAGAUUUCUUUAGUUCUGCAGCAUUGCCACUGUAAUCUGGUACAUUCUUGCAUAUAAUAUUUCUGUUGCCUCCCUUUCUUGCUUUGGCUUUCCUGGAGAGUUUGUAUGCAUUAUUCAUCAAUGUGCUCAAGUGACAACAUAAAACUGCCU
This 722-nucleotide long non-coding RNA is filed under the name Marmota monax (woodchuck). The record is from RNAcentral. Lineage: Eukaryota; Metazoa; Chordata; Mammalia; Rodentia; Sciuridae.